RNAcentral lists this transfer RNA (61 nucleotides) under Vibrio cholerae HC-02C1. RNAcentral's name for it is "partial tRNA-OTHER". It matches the Rfam family "tRNA", at positions 16 to 71 of the family's 71-position model. Rfam says of the family: Transfer RNA (tRNA) molecules are approximately 80 nucleotides in length. The record is from RNAcentral. Lineage: Bacteria; Pseudomonadati; Pseudomonadota; Gammaproteobacteria; Vibrionales; Vibrionaceae.
UAGGUAGAGCAACUGACUUGUAAUCAGUAGGUCACCAGUUCGAUUCCGGUAGUCGGCACCA